RNAcentral lists this ribosomal RNA (892 nucleotides) under uncultured Bacteroidota bacterium. RNAcentral describes it as "bacterial SSU rRNA". It matches the Rfam family "Bacterial small subunit ribosomal RNA", at positions 9 to 899 of the family's 1533-position model. Lineage: Bacteria; Pseudomonadati; Bacteroidota. The record is from RNAcentral.
GAGUUUGAUCCUGGCUCAGGAUGAACGCUAGCGGCAGGCUUAACACAUGCAAGUAGAACGGUAACAGAGAGAGCUUGCUCUCUGCUGACGAGUUGCGAACGGGUGCGUAACGCGUAUGCAACCUACCCAUAACAGGGGGAUAGCCCAUAGAAAUGUGGAUUAAUACCCCAUAACAUCAUUUUCUGGCAUCAGAAAAUGAUUAAAACUCCGGUGGUUAUGGAUGGGCAUGCGUGACAUUAGCUAGUUGGUGAGGUAACUGCUCACCAAGGCAACGAUGUCUAGGGGUUCUGAGAGGAUGAUCCCCCACACUGGUACUGAGACACGGACCAGACUCCUACGGGAGGCAGCAGUGAGGAAUAUUGCGCAAUGGAGGAAACUCUGACGCAGCCAUGCCGCGUGCAGGAAGACUGCCCUAUGGGUUGUAAACUGCUUUUAUAUAGGAAGAACUACAGCUACGUGUAGCUGUUUGACGGUACUAUACGAAUAAGGACCGGCUAACUCCGUGCCAGCAGCCGCGGUAAUACGGAGGGUCCAAGCGUUAUCCGGAUUUAUUGGGUUUAAAGGGUCCGUAGCGGGGUCAUUAAGUCAGUGGUGAGAUCCUACAGCUCAACUGUAGAACUGCCAUUGAAACUGAUGACCUUGAGUAUAAUUGAAGUGGGCGGAAUGUGUCAUGUAGCGGUGAAAUGCUUAGAUAUGCCACAGAACACCGAUUGCGAGGCAGCUCACUAAGUUAUAACUGACGCUGAGGGACGAAAGCGUGGGUAGCGAACAGGAUUAGAUACCUGGUAGUCCACGCCGUAAACGAUGUAUACUCGUUGCUGGCGAUACACAGUCAGUGACCAAGCGAAAGUAUUAAGUAUACCACCCGGGGGAGUACGCUCGCAGARUGAAA